Molecule: long non-coding RNA, 4710 nt
Filed under: Nicotiana benthamiana
Lineage: Eukaryota; Viridiplantae; Streptophyta; Magnoliopsida; Solanales; Solanaceae
Description: long non-coding RNA (NBEN_LNC006742)
Source: RNAcentral
CUUGGUUUCGUGUAAACAUAUCCAUGCAUCGAGGUUCACAUAUAGAAACAAAAUACAAGCAUUUGUGGUGAAACUAGCCAACUAAACAAUGUCCACAUAUUUGUUUUAUAAAUUUAGCCACUAUUAUGCCAAGUGCAACAACAACUUAAUACUAAAGUACAAAGCAAAAGCUGAAAAUAGAAACAGGUUUUGAUCACACUAGCUAGUUCAAGGGUUUGACUAAUAAAGACAGUAUCACCACCGUCGGAAUGAGGAAUUCUCCGGCAAUUUCCACGGCGGAAUCCGGCAACGGAGGUGGAAUUAGAUGGUUUUCCGGCAUGGUACGCGCCGGGAAGAAGGCAUACAUGGAUAAUCAGAAGCUGAGGGAGGUUGAGAAGGCUGAGAAAGUCAUGCAUCUUAUCUGUUGGGGACCCAAAUAGUUCAUUUCUUAAUUACUGACCUCAGUAAGUAGUGCUUAUGUUCGAAUCUUGAGAAUAAAGAAUGUUUUCAGAUGAAAGCGGUUUUCUCUUUAGUGAGUUUAUAUAUUAACAAUGAAAUCUGAGUUAAUCGAAUUAAUGACUUCAAUUAUCGAAUGGUUAAUUAAAAAAAAAUAUUGUGUUUAUAACUUUUUCCUUUUUCCCCCUUUUUGGGGUUUGUUUUGCCCUUUUUUCCUGUCUUAUUGUCAUCUCCUUUUUUUUUUUUUUUUUUUUCUUUAGUUUAGUAUUGCCUAUUGUUGGGACCUGUCUUAUUGUCAUCUCUUUUUUUUUUUUUUUUUUUGCUUUAGUUUAGUAUGGCCUAAUGUUGGGAAUUGGGAUCGAACUGGGUCGGUUGUUGUUACUUGUUAGUAUGGCCUAAUGGGAGUGUCGAAAUUAUUAGUAUGUAAUUUGCUCUCAAGGAGAGUUUGUAAUUAAUAUAUUAAAUGUUGUUAAAAAUAUGUUUUGGUGGGGAUGUUUCGUCUAAAUUUUCCAAAUUGAACCAAUAUGUGCUAUUAUCAGAAAUAAAAAAUGGAAAUCAAUCUAGCAUAUUAGUAGUAAAUUUAUAACUUCACUUUAGACGAUUUCGACUUGAUUUGAGUUAUUAGUUCUGUGGUUUUACAUCUUAAUUAGAUAGAAAACCUUCACCUAAAAAAACGUAAACAUAUAGUUAUGCCCGAACACCACCUCAUAGUAAACCUAAGAAAUAAUGAAUUCAGUUGAGAAAUUGAGAAGAAAAGAGGCAAGUAAAAAGGACACAAAUUUUAUGGGUCGAUAAGCAAAAGAGGUAAAGUUUGUGCACACUCUAUCCUUUCCAAACCUCACUGAUGGGGUUUUAUUAGGUUGUUGUUGUUGUUGAUAAUAUAUAUAUANNNNNNNNNNNNNNNNNNNNNNNNNNNNNNNNNNNNNNNNNNNNNNNNNNNNNNNNNNNNNNNNNNNNNNNNNNNNNNNNNNNNNNNNNNNNNNNNNNNNNNNNNNNNNNNNNNNNNNNNNNNNNNNNNNNNNNNNNNNNNNNNNNNNNNNNNNNNNNNNNNNNNNNNNNNNNNNNNNNNNNNNNNNNNNNNNNNNNNNNNNNNNNNNNNNNNNNNNNNNNAUAUAUAUAUAUAUAUAUAUAUAUAUAUAUAUACACUAAAAGGCCCUAUUUUAUUAGCUUAUAGACAAGCGAAUAGUUUGAUCUCAUGAUGAUGAAUAAGUUAGACAAACAUAAAAUGCUUAGCAUUGAUAUGGAGACAGAACAACAAAAAUCGUAAUAUCGAGAGCAUGACUUCAGAUGACAAUAAUCACGAUAUAAAUGAGAAAAAAGAUAAAAUUAUAUUUAGCUUUUAACAAAGUGCAGCAUAUGUUUGUAAGAAAAUUCGUGUCAUUUACAAUAAUACUAUUGCUCAUUAUUAUAGUUGCACCUAGAGAAAAAGGUCCUAGGAUCAAGCUGUGAAAAUUGAAGGAUCGAUGAGUAUAAGUUGAGCUGAAACUCAACUGCCAUUGCUGAAGGUCAUGGAGCUAAGAGAGGAAGCAGAACCUUCGAGAGAUUUUCAGAUAUGGGAAAAUAUUCUCAUUAAUUUGAAAACACUGACACUACUCGACUAUAUACAAGACACUACACUUGUACAACCGUCACUCUCCACUAUAACUGCCUAAACUACCACUAACAAAUAAUUUGACAGUAACUACCAUUAACAUCCUAACUAACUAGUUACAAUAAUAGCCAUAGCCACAGUUACAAAGGUGGCCACUAGUUAAAUAAUUAUAGAGCUUUGUGUCCGAAUCUUAACAACCCCUCAAGUUGGAAGGGAGGUACUCACUGCCAACUUGUGCAGUAGUGAAGAGUGUUUAAUCCCUGUCAACGACUUGCUGCGCAUGUCAUCCAGUUGGUCAUUUGUAUGAAUAUAGUGCAAAGGUAUCAGACCCUCCAUGAGUUUGUCUCUUACAAAAUGACAAUCGACCUCUAUAUAUUUAGUUCUCUCAUGAAACACUGGAUUUUUUGCCAUGUGCAAAGCUGCUUGAUUAUCACAGUAGAUUGGAAUAUGCAAGGUUAGAGGCAUUGUCAGUUCAUCUAAAAGUUUGGAUAACCAAACGAGUUCUGCAGCUACUUUUCUUGCUGACAUGUACUCUGCUUCAGCAGAACUUAAAGAUACAACUGACUGCUUCUUUGACUUCCAACUAAUUGGACUGUCCCCAAGCAACAAAAUGAUACCACUCUCAGGACAAGUAGCCCAAUCUGAGUCACAAAAUGCUCUCAACCUAUAAUCUGCAUUGUUUGACAAGAAAAUCCCCAUACUAGGAUCAUUUUUCAAAUAUCUGAGAACAUGUGUAGCAACCUUGAAAUGGGGGUCUCUGGGACUUUGCAUGUAUUGGCUGAGCCGUUGAACAUUAUAAGCAAUAUCAAGUCGAAUGUUAGUGAGGAAAUUCAACUUCCCAACCAACUUCCUAUAUUGAGUGGGGUCUGUGAGCAAAUUUCCUUCAAUUUCCUUUAGCUUUGUUGAAGGAUCAAGUGGAGAUGACAUUGGAGGACAAUGUGCACAUUUAAAUUCUUGUAUCAGGUCCUUUGUAAACUUCCUUUGCGUGAUUAAUACCACAUCAUGUUUGUAUAAUAUUUCUAAACCUAGAAAGUAGUGCAGUCUCCCCAGGUCCUUUAUCCCAAAUGUCUCAUGCAGAAAAGUUUUCAAUGCCUUAAUUUCUUCCAAAUUUUUCAUGUCAAAAGCACAUUAUUCGCAUAAAAUGCCACAAAAACCACCAAAUUGUCUAACUUCUUAUAGAAUAAGGAGUAAUAUAGCAUGGAAUGCAUUAUUCCCUGGAACAUAAGGCCUCAUCCAGUUCGGCAUAUUACUGCCUGCUUGGCUGCUUCAAUCCAUACAAUGACUUGUUUAGCUUGCAUACCAAAUUCUUGUUGUCUACUAACAGCCCUGGUGGUACUUGUAUAUAUACUUCUUCAUUCAGAUCUCCAUGUAAGAAAAUAUUAUUUACAUUAAAUUGAAAAAUAUCCCAGUUCUUCUUUAUUUCUAUGCUAAUAAAUGUUUUGACAGCAGUCAUCUUUACAACUGGUGAGAAUGUCUCAAUAUAGUCUAUUUCUGCCUGCUGAGUGUAAUCCUUGACAACUAGCCUAGCCUUAAAUCUUUUAACACUCUCAUAUGCCUUAUGCUAGAUUUUGUAUACCCAUUUGCUACCUAUUGCCCUCUUUCUUGUGGGGAUGGAACAAGAUCCCAGGUGUGGUUGGAGUAAAGUGCAUCAAAUUCCUGAUUCAUAGCCUGCUACCAGGUAGGUACGGUUGCUGCCUCUCCAUAUGAUUUAGGUUCACAAUCAGUAGAGAGAGUCUCAAGCAAAUACUGACUAUCAGUACUCAGUGCAUUGAGAGAAACAAGUUAUAAAUGGGGAACAUGUGUGUAAAAAGAGAAAGAAGGAGAACUAUGACUAUCAUCUACUACUUGUGUUUCACUAUUAGUGUUAAGAGUGGGUGCAUUGCAUAUGUAAUCUUUCAAGUAGCUAGGGAGUUUGUGGGUUCUUUGAGAUCUGUUAUGUGUUGUGGUCGCAGUUUUCUCAGGUUGUGCAGAAACUUGUGAAUCACUUUGAAAGGAUUGAUUUUGGUCUUGGGAGUGAAAGCAAGGUUCAGUAGAUGUGUUGGAGGUUCUAUUAGAAUUGAAGGAGCUUUAGUAAUAUGAUUGAGAUGGUGGUGCAGGUUCAUGAAUGUCAUUACUAGUAUCAUUGCCAAGUGGAAGUCCAAGUGACAUUAAUUGUUGAUGUGAAUCACUCUCUUUAGUACUAGGAGUACUAGGAAUAGAAUUAACACUGUCAACAUGACUCAUGCUAGGACCUAUAUAAGGGAAAGAAAGAGGUAGAUGCUCACAUUUGGAUGCCUCAGUCUACUUUCCUGGUAGAGUGAAGGGAAAGACUGAUUCAUAAAAAUUCACAUAUCUAGAAACAUGUAUUUUCCUUGUCGCUAAGCUGAGAACCUUGUAUACUUUUGACCCAAAAGGGUAUCCUACAAACAUGGGGUGAUGAUAUUGAUUCAAAAUUUUCUUUAUGUGGUUUCAGGUUUGUAGGGAAACAUAGACAGCCAAAACUCCUAAGGAGUAGUUUGGUCUCUUUUUAUAUAGGACUUCAAAAGGGAAUUUUCCACUGAGGGAUGUAGAUGGUAAUUUGUUGAUCAGGUAAGUGGAGGUUAGAAUGCAUUCUCCCCAAUACUUUAGGGGUAGUUUUGACUGAUAUAGUCGUGCUCUUGCAGUUUCUAGUAGAUAUUUAUGUUUUCUCUCCACUAUGGAUUUUG